AGUGAACGCUGGCGGUAGGCCUAACACAUGCAAGUCGAACGGCAGCACAGUAAGAGCUUGCUCUUACGGGUGGCGAGUGGCGGACGGGUGAGGAAUACAUCGGAAUCUACUUUUUCGUGGGGGAUAACGUAGGGAAACUUACGCUAAUACCGCAUACGACCUACGGGUGAAAGCAGGGGAUCUUCGGACCUGUCGCGAUUGAAUGAGCCGAUGUCGGAUUAGCUAGUUGGCGGGGUAAAGGCCCACCAAGGCGACGAUCCGUAGCUGGUCUGAGAGGAUGAUAAGCCACACUGGAACUGGAACACGGUCCAGACUCCUACGGGAGGCAGCAGUGGGGAAUAUUGGACAAUGGGCGCAAGCCUGAUCCAGCCAUACCGCGUGGGUGAAGGAGGCCUUCGGGUUGUAAAGACCUUUUGUUGGGAAAGAAAAGCAGCAGGUUAAUACCCCGCUGUUCUGACGGUACCCAAAGAAUAAGCACCGGCUAACUUCGUG
RNAcentral lists this ribosomal RNA (492 nucleotides) under uncultured bacterium. RNAcentral describes it as "partial 16S ribosomal RNA". It matches the Rfam family "Bacterial small subunit ribosomal RNA", at positions 29 to 507 of the family's 1533-position model. The record is from RNAcentral.